RNAcentral lists this long non-coding RNA (728 nucleotides) under Nicotiana benthamiana. RNAcentral's name for it is "long non-coding RNA (NBEN_LNC002900)". The record is from RNAcentral. Lineage: Eukaryota; Viridiplantae; Streptophyta; Magnoliopsida; Solanales; Solanaceae.
UCGAAUUAUAUUUUGAUAAGAUAAUAAUCUUCUUCGUGUGGUGGCAAAAUUCUGCAUCACAAGUUGAAUUAUUGUUCCAUUUAAGUAAAUAGGAUGGAUGAAAUGAAAAGGUGAUACCAAAGUGUUAUGUGAUAGAAGGAUAAUUAGUAAAUUGAAAGGCAAGUUCUAUAGAACGGUUUAAAGAUUAAUUAUGCGAGGUAAAAAUUCAGAUGCUCUAAUAAAUAUGCGAGCAAUCAAGAUUAAAAACGACGCCCUUAAACAAAAGACGUAAAUAAACACACAGUGAAUAAAAUGAAAAGUCGUUUAAGAUGAUUUGAUCAUGUCUUGCGUUAUUCAGAUACACCAAACUGUAUGUGAAGCCAUGAUGAACCAAGAGGCAAUGGAUUCACAUGAUCACUUUGACCAACAAAAAAGAAUUGUCUCUUGCAACUUGCACCAGCUAUUAUACAAUAUUCGUUAAUAUCUGCAGAAAUAAAAAAAUGAUUGAUACAAUAAUAGUUCAUUUCACACCCUUUUUUCUCAUAAACAAUACUGUAGUUCAUUUCACACCUUGAGGCUCCUUUAAAUUAAAGAAAAAGAUAGGGUAAGGUGGGGUCUACUUUCUCAUCACUUGCUUUGAGUUUUGACUCUUUCCCAAUGCUUUCAUCAUACUGCAAUCUUCAAUGGAAGAAUGUUGUGUUUUCACCGAAUAAAGGAAACCAGCGAAAGAAAAAAAAAAAAGGGGGGGG